RNAcentral lists this ribosomal RNA (301 nucleotides) under uncultured bacterium. RNAcentral describes it as "partial 16S ribosomal RNA". It matches the Rfam family "Bacterial small subunit ribosomal RNA", at positions 509 to 807 of the family's 1533-position model. The record is from RNAcentral.
CAGUCGCCGCGGUAAGACAGAGGAUGCAAGCGUUAUCCGGAAUGAUUGGGCGUAAAGCGUGCGCAGGCGGUUUUGUAAGACAGGCGUGAAAUCCCCGGGCUCAACCUGGGAAUGGCGCUUGUGACUGCAAAGCUAGAGUGCGGCAGAGGGGGAUGGAAUUCCGCGUGUAGCAGUGAAAUGCGUAGAUAUGCGGAGGAACACCGAUGGCGAAGGCAAUCCCCUGGGCCUGCACUGACGCUCAUGCACGAAAGCGUGGGGAGCAAACAGGAUUAGAUACCCGCGUAGUCCCUGUCUCUUAUAC